RNAcentral lists this ribosomal RNA (250 nucleotides) under Moraxella catarrhalis. RNAcentral's name for it is "partial 23S ribosomal RNA". It matches the Rfam family "Bacterial large subunit ribosomal RNA", at positions 2675 to 2925 of the family's 2925-position model. Lineage: Bacteria; Pseudomonadati; Pseudomonadota; Gammaproteobacteria; Moraxellales; Moraxellaceae. The record is from RNAcentral.
CUCCUAGUACGAGAGGACCAGAGUGGACGAACCUCUGGUGUUUCGGUUGUCACGCCAGUGGCAUUGCCGAGUAGCUAUGUUCGGAUGGGAUAACCGCUGAAAGCAUCUAAGCGGGAAGCCCACCUCAAGAUAAGAUUUCCCUAAGAGCCGUUGUAGACGACGACGUUGAUAGGUUGGGUGUGGAAGUGUAGUGAUACAUGUAGCUAACCAAUACUAAUUGCUCGUUUGGCUUGACCAUACAACACCCAAG